This 495-nucleotide ribosomal RNA is filed under the name uncultured bacterium. RNAcentral describes it as "partial 16S ribosomal RNA". It matches the Rfam family "Bacterial small subunit ribosomal RNA", at positions 28 to 507 of the family's 1533-position model. The record is from RNAcentral.
GACGAACGCUGGCGGCGUGCCUAAUACAUGCAAGUAGAACGCUGAAGGAGGAGCUUGCUCUUCUGGAUGAGUUGCGAACGGGUGAGUAACGCGUAGGUAACCUGCCUGGUAGCGGGGGAUAACUAUUGGAAACGAUAGCUAAUACCGCAUAACAGUAGAUGUUGCAUGACAUUUACUUAAAAGGUGCAAUUGCAUCACUACCAGAUGGACCUGCGUUGUAUUAGCUAGUUGGUGGGGUAACGGCUCACCAAGGCGACGAUACAUAGCCGACCUGAGAGGGUGAUCGGCCACACUGGGACUGAGACACGGCCCAGACUCCUACGGGAGGCAGCAGUAGGGAAUCUUCGGCAAUGGACGGAAGGCUGACCGAGCAACGCCGCGGGAGUGAAGAAGGUUUUCGGAUCGUAAAGCUCUGUUGUAAGAGAAGAAAGAGUGUGAGAGUGGAAAGUUCACACUGUGACGGUAUCUUACCAGAAAGGGACGGCUAACUACGUG